UAGGGAAUCUUCCACAAUGGACGCAAGUCUGACGGAGCAACGCCGCGUGAGUGAAGAAGGGUUUCGGCUCGUAAAGCUCUGUUGUUAAAGAAGAACGUGGGUAAGAGUAACUGUUUACCCAGUGACGGUAUUUAACCAGAAAGCCACGGCUAACUACGUGCCCG
Molecule: ribosomal RNA, 164 nt
Filed under: uncultured bacterium
Lineage: Bacteria
Description: partial 16S ribosomal RNA
Rfam family: Bacterial small subunit ribosomal RNA
Source: RNAcentral